GCUGACUCCGAUUUCAGUUCCUGC
RNAcentral lists this non-coding RNA (24 nucleotides) under Arabidopsis thaliana (thale cress). The record is from RNAcentral. Lineage: Eukaryota; Viridiplantae; Streptophyta; Magnoliopsida; Brassicales; Brassicaceae.